Molecule: long non-coding RNA, 110 nt
Organism: Sinocyclocheilus anshuiensis
Lineage: Eukaryota; Metazoa; Chordata; Actinopteri; Cypriniformes; Cyprinidae
Exons: 3
Source: RefSeq, a predicted model, not a curated record
AAACCCAUCUAUAAUCCAGGACAAAUGGUGAACGUCAGGGUUGUGACCAUGGAUGCUAAAUUUGUUCCUCUUGAUCAAAUGUACAGUCUAGUGGUGGUGGAGGUGAGAAC